RNAcentral lists this long non-coding RNA (2455 nucleotides) under Malus domestica (apple). RNAcentral describes it as "long non-coding RNA (MDOM_LNC011236)". The record is from RNAcentral. Lineage: Eukaryota; Viridiplantae; Streptophyta; Magnoliopsida; Rosales; Rosaceae.
GCACAACUGCCCACUUCAUUGACUAAUAAAAUAAGGCAACACACGGCAACAGAGAGGUGGGUAAAAGACGAAUAGACGGAUGGGAGUUUUUUGCAGAGAGUGCAUAAAACGGCAGAAGGGAGAGCAGAGAGAAGAAAAAUGGGGAGAAAACAGAAGGAGAGCAAAGAGCAGGAAAUAAAGGGGUGUCGCAGCUCCAAAUUUGAGGAGGAGAAGAAGAAGCAUGCUCCUCUCUUUGAGGAGAAGAUGAUCAGAGAGCUCAUCCUAUAAAAAAAGGUUGUUUUCUUUCUUUGUUUUUAAUGGAUAAUUCCUUAUGUAUUAAAACAAGUAUGUGUAACUAAUUUCCUUUUGCUAGAGUGAGGCCAUGAGUCUUAACAUGAUUACAUAGAUUUCUCUUUCAAUUGCUCAAGUGUUGUUACAUGCUUGCUUUGAUAUUUUCAAUCACUGAAUUAAACUAUAUAUGUGCCUUGAUGCUUUAUCACCAUUAGGAUGCUUAGCAAAGUCAUCGGAUGCAAUUUUGAACGAAUGUCACAUUAAAAUUGGUUAUGCUUCUUGUGACUGAGGAUUGUAAUUUCUCCUAAGGUAAAUAUCAUACUUUUAGGGAUUACAUGGUUUAACAAAAGGAUUUUCACCAAGAUUAAUGAAUCACUCAUGUCUAUAUUUAAUCCAAAUGUCAUGGAUAAAUUGCAUGUAAUGGUAUGCGUUUUAGCUUGAAUGUCACAAGUAAAACAUACACGAGGAAAACCCAACCUUCAAAGCAUGUGUGUUUUCGAUUACUUAAGCAAUUGGAAGAGCUACGUAGGAGUGCUGUUGGGAAAGGUUGAACUCUAGCGCCUUGUCAAUCUAAUUUUCUUCAAUUACUUGUAUUAUCUUGAGUUUCUAUAUUUACUUGUUUUGUUUAGUUGGAUCACUAUUCCUAUAAGCCAAUUCCCAUUUCAGAUAUUUGUUUAAGUCAUGUAUAGUAGUAUUUAGUUUCGUCGAAUUAGUUUAGUUCUUAGAGUUAACUAAGUUAAAUACACAAAACUCGUAAAUUGUUUAUAUCAGUCCUUGAGAAGAUCGACCUUACUUGAGCCAUUCUAUACUACAAACACUUGUUCUCCUGCAAGAAUGUUCUAUGGUUUAACCCUUGUUUUACAAGUGGUAAAAUCGCUAUCAGAGCCUAAUCGAGCUCAAGAUCAUCUUAAAUGUUUUCGAGGUAGGGAAUUCGUACUUGGAAUCUUAGUUAUAGUUAGAGACUCAAAGGUUUUAACUCUGGAAAACCUCUGUGCAAUUCUCCAGUUUUCCGAUGAAGAUGUCUAGUGAAGCUUUAUCAAAUCCAGGAUGGGUUCAACUCGAAAUCUUCAUGUUUUGGUAAGUUCUCUGAAGUUUUGGUUCCAAAAAAUGGUGAAACAACAAACCCAUUCCAAAUCAGUCCCAAAUCAACUCAUAUCAAGGAUUAGAUAAAUUUCUAAACCUUGUUGGACAAUUCUGUCAAAAUUUGGAUGAAGAAUCGAGCUGAUUUGAACUUUAGUUUGAGUUCUAAGUCUUUUCUAUAGCUUUGGCAAUGGUCAACGGCGUCGCCGUUAACUUUAAUGGUGACAAGCAGUGGCAUCCGUUAGACAUAACAUAAUCUUCAAUGGAAAUUAGAUAUAUUCCAUUAAACCUUAAACUAUAUCCGAAGACCGGCUCGUGGCCACGGGCAUGGUGACUACAGCUGUACUCGCAUGACGGCGUGCAACGGCGGCACGUCCACUUGCGUGUGACAGUGUGUGACACCACCACGGAGGUUUGUGGUAGCGUGUGGGGGGACCCAGACCUACUUUAGGUUUUUUGAUGUCCCGAAUCGCGUAGUGCAGUCCGUUUAGGCUAAUUCAAAGUUGUUAAUCACGUUUAGAUGAUAAAAUUUGUGAAAUGUUAUAAUACUUUUAGUAAAAGCUAAUUGUUAUUUUAUAGGUGCAAUUAUAAAGGUAACAAUUAUGGACAAAGGCACCUAUUAUGGAUUAUGCUCGCAUUAUCGAUGAGUGGACAUAUUGGUGACUUAUUUCCACCACUUGGUCAACAUGUGAUAUUUCGUAUAGCUAUGGUUGUAAAUUAUGUAUAGAUGUUAUAUUUCUUGUGGAGGCUAGAUUACUUAUUGAUACCGGUAGAGAACUCGGCUAGUAGACUAGCAUACCCUACAUGCUAUACUUAUGCUAGUAGAUGCUAGUGUGAUUAAUUGAAUACAUGUAUGAUUACUAAACUACUGGUAGAAUGAUUUUGGUUCAUGAAUUGGUUAUGAUUGAGGAGGGCAAUUGAGCGUAGCAGUAGUGCAGACUUCCUAUUAGUUGGAGAGUUUCACUUUUGCUUUGUCGAUAUCGAUUUAUAGUCAAUUGUACGAACUACUUUUGAUUAUAUAAAUGGCACAACACAAUUGAUAAGCUCAUAUUUAUAUAUAUUUUACAUAAAAUUCACUUGUCUUUUCUUAGUUAGUUCCUUAUAU